UAGGGAAUUUUCGUCAAUGGGCGCAAGCCUGAACGAGCGAUGCCGCGUGAGUGAAGAAGGCCUUCGGGUCGUAAAGCUCUGUUGCGGGGGAAAAAAGGGCAUCUGCAGGAAAUGGUAGAUGACAGAUGGUGCCCCGCCAGAAAGUCACGGCUAACUACGUGCC
This 163-nucleotide ribosomal RNA is filed under the name uncultured bacterium. RNAcentral's name for it is "partial 16S ribosomal RNA". It matches the Rfam family "Bacterial small subunit ribosomal RNA", at positions 355 to 509 of the family's 1533-position model. The record is from RNAcentral.